CCUACGGGUGGCAGCAGUGAGGAAUAUUGGUCAAUGGCCGGAAGGCUGAACCAGCCAUGCCGCGUGAAGGUCAGUGCCCUAUGGGUUGUAAACCUCUUUUGUCGGAGAACAAAACCCGGGACGUGUCCCGGACUGCGUGUAUCCGAAGAAAAAGCAUCGGCUAACUCCGUGCCAGCAGCCGCGGUAAUACGGAGGAUGCGAGCGUUAUCCGGAUUUAUUGGGUUUAAAGGGUGCGUAGGCGGUCCGUUAAGUCAGCGGUUAAAUUGCGGGGCUCAACCCCGUCGAGCCGUUGAAACUGGCAGACUUGAGUUGGCGAGAAGUACGCGGAAUGCGCGGUGUAGCGGUGAAAUGCAUAGAUAUCGCGCAGAACUCCGAUUGCGAAGGCAGCGUACCGGCGCCAGACUGACGCUGAGGCACGAAAGCGUGGGGAUCGAACAGGAUUAGAUACCCGAGUAGUC
This 458-nucleotide ribosomal RNA is filed under the name uncultured bacterium. Its description in RNAcentral is "partial 16S ribosomal RNA". It matches the Rfam family "Bacterial small subunit ribosomal RNA", at positions 338 to 795 of the family's 1533-position model. The record is from RNAcentral.